The sequence is a small nuclear RNA, 119 nucleotides long. Its record names the gene U5. It matches the Rfam family "U5 spliceosomal RNA". From Rfam's summary of the family: U5 RNA is a component of both types of known spliceosome. The record is from Ensembl.
UCGCUUGGGCUUCUCUUCAUCACGUACAAAUCUUUCGCCUUUUACUAAAGAUUUCCGUGGAGAGGGGAGGGCGUCAACAAGCUCACAAUAUUUUUGGGGGCUCUGUUUUGAACAGAUCU